Molecule: ribosomal RNA, 427 nt
Filed under: uncultured bacterium
Lineage: Bacteria
Description: bacterial SSU rRNA
Rfam family: Bacterial small subunit ribosomal RNA
Source: RNAcentral
UGGGGAAUAUUGCACAAUGGGCGCAAGCCUGAUGCAGCCAUGCCGCGUGUAUGAAGAAGGCCUUCGGGUUGUAAAGUACUUUCAGCGGGGAGGAAGGUGUUGUGGUUAAUAACCGCAGCAAUUGACGUUACCCGCAGAAGAAGCACCGGCUAACUCCGUGCCAGCAGCCGCGGUAAUACGGAGGGUGCAAGCGUUAAUCGGAAUUACUGGGCGUAAAGCGUACGCAGGCGGUCUGUCAAGUCGGAUGUGAAAUCCCCGGGCUCAACCUGGGAACUGCAUUCGAAACUGGCAGGCUAGAGUCUUGUAGAGGGGGGUAGAAUUCCAGGUGUAGCGGUGAAAUGCGUAGAGAUCUGGAGGAAUACCGGUGGCGAAGGCGGCCCCCUGGACAAAGACUGACGCUCAGGUGCGAAAGCGUGGGGAGCAAACA